Molecule: unclassified non-coding RNA, 302 nt
Filed under: air metagenome
Description: partial contains small subunit ribosomal RNA, internal transcribed spacer 1, and 5.8S ribosomal RNA
Rfam family: Eukaryotic small subunit ribosomal RNA (bases 1-46)
Source: RNAcentral
AAGUCGUAACAAGGUUUCCGUAGGUGAACCUGCGGAAGGAUCAUUAACGAGUUUUGAAGUGGGUCUGAUGCUGGCCUUCCCAGGCAUGUGCUCGUCCUACUCUUCAUCCACUCACACCUGUGCACCUAUAAACGUUGGAAGAUUCAUCCCCUAGACUCUUAGGGGUGCUGUCGAAGGAAACUUUGGCAGUUGGGUUGAUUCUCUUGCGUUUACCUUUAUAAACUCUUGAAUGUCAUAGAAUGUCUAAUGGCCUACGGGCUUGAAAUGAAAUACAACUUUCAACAACGGAUCUCUUGGCUCUC